CAGCAGCCGCCGCGGUAAUACGAAGGGUGCAAGCGUUACUCGGAAUUACUGGGCGUAAAGCGUGCGUAGGCGGCUUCUUAAGUCGGAUGUGAAAUCCCUGAGCUUAACUUAGGAAUUGCAUUCGAUACUGGGAAGCUAGAGUAUGGGAGAGGAUGGUAGAAUUCCAGGUGUAGCGGUGAAAUGCGUAGAGAUCUGGAGGAAUACCGAUGGCGAAGGCAGCCACCUGGCCUAAUACUGACGCUGAGGUACGAAAGCAUGGGGAGCAAACAGGAUUAGAUACCCCCGUAGUCCCUGUCUCUUAUAC
Molecule: ribosomal RNA, 304 nt
Filed under: uncultured bacterium
Lineage: Bacteria
Description: partial 16S ribosomal RNA
Rfam family: Bacterial small subunit ribosomal RNA
Source: RNAcentral